CGACGUCGCGAGAAGUCCACUGAACCUUAUCAUUUAGAGGAAGGAGAAGUCGUAACAAGGUUUCCGUAGGUGAACCUGCGGAAGGAUCAUUGUCGAAACCUGCAAAGCAGACCCGCGAACACGUGUUUAACAUCUACGGUUCCUCGUCACAGGUGCGCAAGCCCCUCUGUCGAGACUACCGCGCCCGCUCGAGCUUGCGUCUUGUGGGCUAACGAACCCCGGCGCGGCAUGCGCCAAGGAAAACUUAAAGAAGCGUUGCCCCCAUGGAGCCCGUUUGCGGUGCGCCCGUGGUGUGCGACGUCUCUCGAAUGUCUAAACGACUCUCGGCAACGGAUAUCUCGGCUCUCGCAUCGAUGAAGAACGUAGCGAAAUGCGAUACUUGGUGUGAAUUGCAGAAUCCCGUGAACCAUCGAGUCUUUGAACGCAAGUUGCGCCCGAAGCCAUUCGGCCGAGGGCACGCCUGCCUGGGCGUCACGCAUCGCGUCGCCCCCCACCCUAUCCCGGGAUUGGUUUGGGGGCGGAAAAUGGUCUCCCGUGUGCCUCGUGCACGUGGCUGGCCCAAAUACGAUCCGGCAUCGACGGAUGUCACGACCAGUGGUGGUUGAAACUAUCUUGCUGUCGUGCUCACCCCGUCGCUUGCUCGGCAUCAAUUGCAUCCAACGGCGCCAACGCGCCUCCGACCGCGACCCCAGGUCAGGCGGGACUA
RNAcentral lists this ribosomal RNA (706 nucleotides) under Lagotis integra. RNAcentral's name for it is "eukaryotic LSU rRNA". The stretch from base 319 to 474 matches the Rfam family "5.8S ribosomal RNA". The record is from RNAcentral. Lineage: Eukaryota; Viridiplantae; Streptophyta; Magnoliopsida; Lamiales; Plantaginaceae.